Molecule: long non-coding RNA, 1132 nt
Organism: Cyprinodon variegatus (sheepshead minnow)
Lineage: Eukaryota; Metazoa; Chordata; Actinopteri; Cyprinodontiformes; Cyprinodontidae
Exons: 3
Source: RefSeq, a predicted model, not a curated record
UGGAUUCAUUUGUCUUUUUAGGCCGGGUUAAGGCUUCACCCUGGCGUUAUUGCAUCGGUGAUCCUGGUCUGUGUGGCGGCACUCGCUGCUGCUGUAUUGAUCAUCCGAAAAUACUGCUUCCCAGUCAACGAAGCAACAUACAGAUACUCUGUGCUGAGGAGCAUGGAGGACCAGGAGUCGGCGGUGACAGUGGAAGAUGGCGACAGGGGGCCUUCCACAGUGGGAGAGGAGUCAGACGAGGAGCUACUGGAAUAAAUCUCCAACUGGGACGCAGCCGGACUGACUGGAAAAUAGUUCAUCAUCGACGGAUUGUGUGGCACAAAGGCCUGCAGCAGACAAUUCUUGACAGAAGAUUUUUAGGACUGGUUUUACUUCCUACUGCUCAUCCUAAAAUGUUAUAUUUAAUACGCUGUCAGAUAAGACUAUGUUACAAACUCUCACAUUUGGGAAGCUGGAACCACAAAGUAUUUUUAUUUUAACUGAUGAUUUAACUCAGGUCAGUUAAUUUUGACUAACACCCUUUGAUUGAUCUACAGAGGAUCAGAUAAUAGACUUGAUUCACCUGCCCUGUGGACUCAUUCAUUUAAAUUCGCCUCAGACUUUUAUCUUUUGUUUGAUCUGCGGUAUUGAUCCUCAGCUGCUUCGUAGAUUCCCACGAGUUGAGUCAGUUUCUAUCAGCGAACAGAUACAGUUAAAGUUGACGUCUUUGAAGUGACACGAGCUGUCGAUAAGCAUUAAUCUUUGACCUUGUUUUUACCUCCGGCUACUGUUGGACCUUCUGAUAGGUGAAGGUUGUACCUGCAGGCAUUACCCAGGGCUUAAAGAAGCUAAAGGAGCCAUUGUCAGUAUUCAUCUAAAAUGUGCAACAAUAGAACAUAAAUGAAAUAUUCAUUAAUGUAGGUGGCAGAGAAGAUGGGCAAAGUAUCAGACAGCAUGUUUGUGAGUUUAUUCUGCAGCGAUUUAGAUGGAAUAUAUAUUAUUUUUUAUGGUUUAUCUACAGAUUCCUUUAACCUUUGCACAUUGUGAGGGGGCUGCUUAAGACAAGGCUACCCUUUUUCUACUUAGAGGGAAAGGAAUUUCUCUCUGAACUGAUUUUUUUUUCUCUUUUCAAAUAAAAAUCUCUGCCUAUUGA